Molecule: transfer RNA, 77 nt
Filed under: Erwinia phage pEa_SNUABM_8
Lineage: Duplodnaviria; Heunggongvirae; Uroviricota; Caudoviricetes; Chimalliviridae
Also listed under: 1 other name
Description: tRNA-Ile
Rfam family: tRNA
About the family: Transfer RNA (tRNA) molecules are approximately 80 nucleotides in length. Their secondary structure includes four short double-helical elements and three loops (D, anti-codon, and T loops).
Source: RNAcentral
UGUCUCGUAGCUCAGUUGGUCAGAGCGCGCCCCUGAUAAGGGCGAGGUCAGUGGUUCAAAUCCACUCGAGACAACCA